UACGGAGGGGGCUAGCGUUGUUCGGAAUGACUGGGCGUAAAGCGCGCGUAGGCGGGCUGGAAAGUUGGGGGUGAAAUCCCGGGGCUCAACCCCGGAAUGGCCUUCAAAACUCCCAGCCUAGAGUUCGAGAGAGGUGAGUGGAAUUCCGAGUGUAGAGGUGAAAUUCGUAGAUAUUCGGAGGAACACCAGUGGCGAAGGCGGCUGACUGGACAUGUAUUGACGCUGAGGUGCGAAAGCGUGGGGAGCAAACAGG
Molecule: ribosomal RNA, 253 nt
Filed under: uncultured bacterium
Lineage: Bacteria
Description: partial 16S ribosomal RNA
Rfam family: Bacterial small subunit ribosomal RNA
Source: RNAcentral